Molecule: ribosomal RNA, 265 nt
Filed under: uncultured bacterium
Lineage: Bacteria
Description: partial 16S ribosomal RNA
Rfam family: Bacterial small subunit ribosomal RNA
Source: RNAcentral
GUCCACGCCGUAAACGAUGAGUACUAGGUGUAGGGGGUAUCGACCCCCUCUGUGCCGAAGCUAACGCGAUAAGUACUCCGCCUGGGGACUACGGCCGCAAGGCUAAAACUCAAAGGAAUUGACGGGGGCCCGCACAAGCAGCGGAGCGUGUGGUUUAAUUCGAUGAUACGCGAAGAACCUCACCCAGGUUUGACAUGCAUGUGGUACAGAGAUCAAAGUCAACGGACCCUUCGGGGAGCAUGCACAGGUGUUGCACGGCCGUCGU